AUUGAACGCUGGCGGAAUGCUUUACACAUGCAAGUCGAACGGCAGCACGGACUUCGGUCUGGUGGCGAGUGGCGAACGGGUGAGUAAUGUAUCGGAACGUGCCCAGUCGUGGGGGAUAACGUAGUGAAAAUUACGCUAAUACUGCAUACGAUCUAUGGAUGAAAGCGGGGGAUCGCAAGACCUCGCGCGAUUGGAGCGGCGGAUAUCAGAUUAGGUAGUUGGUGGGGUAAAGGCCCACCAAGCCAACGAUCUGUAGCUGGUCUGAGAGGACGACCAGCCACACUGGAACUGAGACACGGUCCAGACUCCUACGGGAGGCAGCGGUGGGGAAUUUUGGACAAUGGGCGAAAGCCUGAUCCAGCCAUUCCGCGUGCAGGAUGAAGGCCCUCGGGUUGUAAACUGCUUUUGUACAGAACGAAAAGGUUUCUACUAAUACUAGGAGCUCAUGACGGUACUGUAAGAAUAAGCACCGGCUAACUACGUGCCAGCAGCCGCCGCAG
RNAcentral lists this ribosomal RNA (500 nucleotides) under uncultured bacterium. Its description in RNAcentral is "partial 16S ribosomal RNA". It matches the Rfam family "Bacterial small subunit ribosomal RNA", at positions 30 to 523 of the family's 1533-position model. The record is from RNAcentral.